Molecule: ribosomal RNA, 268 nt
Filed under: uncultured bacterium
Lineage: Bacteria
Description: partial 16S ribosomal RNA
Rfam family: Bacterial small subunit ribosomal RNA
Source: RNAcentral
GCGAGCGUUAAUCGGAAUUACUGGGCGUAAAGACGCAUGCAGGUGGUUUGUUAAGUUCAGAUGUGAAAGACCCGGGCGUCAACCUACGGAAUAGCAUUUGUAAACUAGGCAGACUAGAGUACUGUAGAGGGGGGUAGGAAGUUUCAGGUGUAGCGGUGAAAUGCGUAGAGAUCUGAAGGAAUACCGGUGGCGAAGGCGGCCCCCUGGACAGAUACUGACACUCAGAUGCGAAAGCGUGGGGAGCAAACAGGAUUAGAUACCCUGGUAG